UGGGGAAUUUUGGACAAUGGGCGCAAGCCUGAUCCAGCCAUGCCGCGUGAGUGAAGAAGGCCUUCGGGUUGUAAAGCUCUUUCAGUUGGGAAGAAACGAUUGCAACUAAUAAUUGUAAUUAAUGACGGUACCGACAGAAGAAGCACCGGCUAACUACGUGCCAGCAGCCGCGGUAAUACGUAGGGUGCGAGCGUUAAUCGGAAUUACUGGGCGUAAAGGGUGCGCAGGCGGUUUUGUAAGUCAGAUGUGAAAUCCCCGGGCUUAACCUGGGAAUGGCGUUUGAAACUGCAAGGCUAGAGUGUAGCAGGAGGGGAGUGGAAUUCCGCGUGUAGCAGUGAAAUGCGUAGAUAUGCGGAGGAACACCGAUGGCGAAGGCAGCUCCCUGGGCUAACACUGACGCUC
Molecule: ribosomal RNA, 402 nt
Filed under: uncultured bacterium
Lineage: Bacteria
Description: bacterial SSU rRNA
Rfam family: Bacterial small subunit ribosomal RNA
Source: RNAcentral